UGGAGGAGGUUAAAGUGGCCAUUGAUAAAUGACAUCUAAAGAAGGCACCAGAUCCUGAUGGUAUUACCGCAGAAUUUUAUAAGAAGUUCAGAAAGCACUUAGCUCCAAUCCUCAUGGACAUGUACAAAAAUUGUCUAGAAAAUCACCUGAUGCCUUCGUUCAUGAGGGUGUCCUCAUUAAUUCUGCUGACUAAAGGAGGGUAGACUCCUCUCCCAUUUCAAACUCCUUAUACAUGCCAGAGAAGUGAAGGAAGCAUCAGUAUUUUCCAUAUGCUUUGGUUGAAUGGCCUUACGUCAUUGAUGGUCUACCACCAUGAAGAGUCACUUAAGGUGGAGUGAUUUUCCUCAAAUUUCCUAAAGGCACACUAAGAUAACCAAGCAAGAUAACUAUAGAGCAUUCCCCUUUAAAGGUCUCUGCACAAUGACGGGAGACCCAACUGGCUUUGUGGGCAAAGGGCUAGUGACCCAAGGUCUAUGGCAGAGUAUCUCCAUCUAUCAUCUUCUUCUGGUCAC
This is a long non-coding RNA of Bufo bufo (common toad), 512 nucleotides long. RefSeq lists it as uncharacterized. Lineage: Eukaryota; Metazoa; Chordata; Amphibia; Anura; Bufonidae. The record is from RefSeq and is a predicted model, not a curated record. The transcript is spliced from 3 exons.